CAAUAGCGUAUAUUAAAGUUGUUGCAGUUAAAAAGCUCGUAGUUGGAUUUCUGGUGGGAGCGAUCGGUCUGGCGCUUAGCGCGAGUACUUGCAUCGUCUCCGGCCAUCCUUGGGGAGAGUCUGUCUGGCAUUAGGUUGUCGGGCAGAGGAUCUUCACCGUUUACUGUGAAAAAAUUAGAGUGUUCAAAGCAGGCUUAUGCCGUUGAAUAUAUUAGCAUGGAAUAAUAAGAUAGGACUUUGGUACUAUUUUGUUGGUUUGCGCACCAAAGUAAUGAUUAAUAGGGACAGUUGGGGGUAUUCGUAUUCCGUUGUCAGAGGUGAAAUUCUUGGAUUUACGGAAGACGAACUACUGCGAAAGCAUUUACCAAGGAUGUUUUCAUUAA
Molecule: ribosomal RNA, 383 nt
Filed under: uncultured eukaryote
Lineage: Eukaryota
Description: partial 18S ribosomal RNA
Rfam family: Eukaryotic small subunit ribosomal RNA
Source: RNAcentral